UUCCUACGGGAGGCAGCAGUGGGGAAUAUUGCACAGUGGGGGGAACCCUGAUGCAGCGACGCCGCGUGAGUGAAGACGUAUUUCGGUAUGUAAAGCUCUAUCAGCAGGGAAGAAGAUGACGGUACCUGACUAAGAAGCCCCGGCUAACUACGUGCCAGCAGCCGCGGCAAUACGGAGGGGGCAAGCGUUAUCCGGAUUUACUGGGUGUAAAGGGGGCGUAGACGGCAGGACAAGUCUGGAGUGAAAGCC
This 249-nucleotide ribosomal RNA is filed under the name uncultured bacterium. Its description in RNAcentral is "partial 16S ribosomal RNA". It matches the Rfam family "Bacterial small subunit ribosomal RNA", at positions 336 to 602 of the family's 1533-position model. The record is from RNAcentral.